AGGACCGGGACGCGGCGGUGGCGGCGGCACCGGACGAAGGCCGAUAGGAGGGCGUUGAAGGGCAUCGGGGAGAUGGGGGACGGGAGGGACGGCGCGGCGGAGCGGAAGGCUUCGAGGGCCUUCUCAGGGAGGCCGGCGGAGGCGUAUGAGCAGAGGAUGGCCGAGAGAUGCGGCUCGGUUGGGGAAGCUGGGAUGUGGGAGGAGAGGAGCGCCUCGGCAUCAGCAUGCCGUCCGGCGCGGGUGAGGCGGCGUGCGGCAAGGGAGAGCGCAUGGCGCGUAGAGCCGGCGGAGAGGGAGGCGGUGUCGAUGGCCUCGAGGAGGGAGACGGCGCGGUCGGCGUCGUACUCGCGGCGGAGGCGGGUCUUGGCGGCCGAGGACGUGAGGGGGGGCGCAGUGGUGGUGGCGCAGAGCGUGCGGAGGAGGACGUCGGCGCGGCGGCGGCUGCGGCGGCGGAGAAGGGAGGCGAGGGCUGCCAUUUUCGGGGGUGGAAUUGGAUCACAGCAAGGUUUGGGGUUUUAG
This 519-nucleotide ribosomal RNA is filed under the name Triticum aestivum (bread wheat). RNAcentral's name for it is "partial small subunit ribosomal RNA". The record is from RNAcentral. Lineage: Eukaryota; Viridiplantae; Streptophyta; Magnoliopsida; Poales; Poaceae.